Molecule: ribosomal RNA, 513 nt
Filed under: uncultured bacterium
Lineage: Bacteria
Description: partial 16S ribosomal RNA
Rfam family: Bacterial small subunit ribosomal RNA
Source: RNAcentral
GAUGAACGCUGGCGGCGUGCCUAAUACAUGCAAGUCGAGCGAACAGACGAGGAGCUUGCUCCUUUGACGUCAGCGGCGGACGGGUGAGUAACACGUGGGUAACCUACCUAUAAGACUGGGAUAACUUCGGGAAACCGGAGCUAAUACCGGAUAAUAUUUCGAACCGCAUGGUUCGAUAGUGAAAGAUGGCUUUGCUAUCACUUAUAGAUGGACCUGCGCCGUAUUAGCUAGUUGGUAAGGUAACGGCUUACCAAGGCAACGAUACGUAGCCGACCUGAGAGGGUGAUCGGCCACACUGGAACUGAGACACGGUCCAGACUCCUACGGGAGGCAGCAGUAGGGAAUCUUCCGCAAUGGGCGAAAGCCUGACGGAGCAACGCCGCGUGAGUGAUGAAGGUCUUCGGAUCGUAAAACUCUGUUAUUAGGGAAGAACAAACGUGUAAGUAACUGUGCACGUCUUGACGGUACCUAAUCAGAAAGCCACGGCUAACUACGUGCCAGCAGCCGCCGUAA